Molecule: long non-coding RNA, 1498 nt
Organism: Carcharodon carcharias (great white shark)
Lineage: Eukaryota; Metazoa; Chordata; Chondrichthyes; Lamniformes; Lamnidae
Exons: 3
Source: RefSeq, a predicted model, not a curated record
ACACCCAAGAACUUCUACCUGUCCAGCCAUAGCAGUUCCAGGAGAAGAAGACAGCGGCACCUCCACCGAUGAAGUGGCCCCAUCGCUUGAUCUGACACUUGCAGCCUUCGGCUCAGGUGCUGAAUCAUGCUGAAGGGGGCAGGGAGAAUUCCGCACACAACAGCCACACUCCAGUAUCGUAUCCAUGCGGCCAUUCCACAUAAAGAUCUAGGAAGUACAUAUCAACAGCCAUCAGAAUACAGUCUUUUCCUACCUGCUAGACUUUGGAGCAGAAGUCACAGGAUAGCAAUUCUUAAUCCUGGAGUAUUAAGAUCAGUUGUUUUGUUCUUCUCACUGUCCUGCUGGAGAUUAACUAACUCAGCGCAUAUUGGAGAUGUGACCUGCAAUUGUAUGGCUCAGUUUCACACUGGACAAGGUUUAGACCAAUUGAGCCAUUGGGAGCACUUCUUGAUCCAUGUUGUUUAGAGGUUGUGCCCAAUGUUGUCAUAGCUAUCUGUAUUUAUUAUUUUUGCCCAAGGUUCAGAUCAUCUGCUCAGCUGCCUCUACUGCUUCCUCCCUUCUCCUUGCCCACCAAAUCAAACCUUCCCCUGUCCGCUCCCUGACCUCAUCCAUGGGGGGAUGCAGGCAUGGGGGGCAGAUUUUUAUGGAGCCCACAAGAGCAAGAAAUUUGGUGUACAAGGUGCCUUAAUUAGGCGAGAUGCAAAAUAUCAGUUUCCCAACGGUACUGCACAGACAACAGGCAAACUAAGGUACGGAAGACCUGGAUCCUAAUGUAACAGUGCCUUGCCAAGCUGCUUCUUUGUUGGAGUCACCAUAGCCUCAUCAUUUUCAGAAUAAGCACCUAUUGUCAAUUGUAUCGGGACACAUGCAGGCAUUGGCUUUUGUAUCAACCAGCUGCUUCUAUGCUGCUCCACAUGUGCUAGUGGUGAAAGGCAUCUCUUUAUGAUGAACACUGAUUGAUGUAAGCAUAAAAUAAUGGACAUCCAUGGGGUGUCAGAAUCUCUCCUUUAUGAUUGCCUGAGAUUAUUCAUCAAGUGAGCAUUGUGUAUGGCUGCAUCUAGAAUUUGGACUUGAAAACUUUCAUAACAGGAAUGGGAGCGUUCAUAAGGAAUGCUGCUACUGUGCCUAUGAUCACUGUAGUUGACGCUGACAUUGCAGUAAACCACAUUGCAUGUGCCUAUUGCUCCAACUAAUUACACUAACUUACCCAGUUAUGUAUAAAAGGAUGGUAAUAGCUCAGAAGGAGGCCAUUCGGCCUGUCGUGUCAUGCCAUCUCUCUGCAAGAGCAACUCACCUAGUCCUACUCACCCACCUUUUCCGUGUAGCCCCGCAAUUUUUUCCCUUCAGAUAAUUAUCCGAUUCUCUUUUGAAGGCCUUGAUUAAAUCUACCUCCACCACACUCCUGAACAGUGCAUUCCAGAUACUAACCACUUGUGUAAAAAACAUUGUCUCCUGUCACCAUUGCUACUUUUGCCAAUCACCUUAAAUUGCUGUCCUC